GACGAACGCUGGCGGCGUGCUUAACACAUGCAAGUCGAACGAUGAAGCGGUGCUUGCACCGUGGAUUAGUGGCGAACGGGUGAGUAAUACGUGAGUGACCUACCUUUGACUCUGGGAUAAGCCUGGGAAACUGGGUCUAAUACCGGAUACGACCAAUCUCUGCAUGGGGUGUUGGUGGAAAGCGUUAUGGAGUGGUUUUAGAUGGGCUCACGGCCUAUCAGCUUGUUGGUGAGGUAAUGGCUAACCAAGGCGACGACGGGUAGCCGGCCUGAGAGGGUGACCGGCCACACUGGGACUGAGACACGGCCCAGACUCCUACGGGAGGCAGCAGUGGGGAAUAUUGCACAAUGGGCGCAAGCCUGAUGCAGCGACGCCGCGUGAGGGAUGACGGCCUUCGGGUUGUAAACCUCUGUUAGCAUCGAAGAAGCGAAAGUGACGGUAGGUGCAGAGAAAGCGCCGGCUAACUACGUG
RNAcentral lists this ribosomal RNA (471 nucleotides) under uncultured bacterium. Its description in RNAcentral is "partial 16S ribosomal RNA". It matches the Rfam family "Bacterial small subunit ribosomal RNA", at positions 28 to 507 of the family's 1533-position model. The record is from RNAcentral.